Molecule: ribosomal RNA, 244 nt
Filed under: uncultured archaeon
Lineage: Archaea
Description: partial 16S ribosomal RNA
Rfam family: Archaeal small subunit ribosomal RNA
Source: RNAcentral
UUCCGGUUGAUCCUGCCGGCGGGCACCGCUAUCGGUAUGCGAUUAAGGCAUGCGAGUCGAGAGGUGCAAGACCUCGGCUGACGGCUGAGUAACACGCGGAUAACCUGCCCUGAAGUGGAGGAUAAUCUCGGGAAACUGAGGAUAAUACUCCAUAGGUGUGGUAUGCUGGAAUGCUUCCACGCUUAAAGCUCCGGCGCUUCANGAUGGGUCUGCGGCCUAUCAGGCUGUAGUGGGUGUAACGGAC